RNAcentral lists this ribosomal RNA (255 nucleotides) under uncultured bacterium. Its description in RNAcentral is "partial 16S ribosomal RNA". It matches the Rfam family "Bacterial small subunit ribosomal RNA", at positions 524 to 778 of the family's 1533-position model. The record is from RNAcentral.
UACGAAGGGUGCAAGCGUUACUCGGAAUUACUGGGCGUAAAGCGUGCGUAGGCGGUCUGUUAAGUCCGUUGUGAAAGCCCUGGGCUCAACCUGGGAAUUGCAGUGGAUACUGGCAGGCUAGAGUACGGUAGAGGAUGGUGGAAUUCCCGGUGUAGCGGUGAAAUGCGUAGAUAUCAGGAGGAAUACCGAUGGCGAAGGCAGGUCUCUGGACCUGUACUGACGCUCAUGCACGAAAGCGUGGGGAGCAAACAGGAU